AUGGCGAUGGCGUCGCGCGCGCGGACGCGGUGGUCGGCGCUGGCGGCGAGCACGCUGAUCCAGUGCUUCGCGGGCGGCAGCUACUGCUUCGGCGUCUACUCGCCGGCGCUCAAGGCGUCGCAGGGCUACGACCAGUCCGCGCUCGACGCCGUCGCCUUCUUCAAGGACGUCGGCGCUAACGUCGGGGUCCUCUCCGGCCUCCUCGCCGCGUGGGCUCCCUCUGGGGGCCGGAGGCGACCCUGGCUCGUCCUCCUCACCGGCGCCGCGCUCUGCGCCGCCGGGUACCUCCCCAUGUGGCUCGCCGUCGCCGGGGUCGUCCCCGCCCCGCUCCCGCUCGUCUGCCUCUACAUGCUGCUCGCCGCGCAGGCGCAGACCUUCAUGAACACGGCCGAUGUCGUCACCGCCGUAGAGAACUUCCCCGACCGCCGCGGCACCGUCAUCGGCAUCAUGAAGGGGUUUCUAGGCUUGAGUGGGGCGAUACUGGUCCAAGUACAGCGGACUCUCCGUAUUGAUCCCGGCAGUUUCAUACUUAUGCUGGCAAUACUACCCACAGCCAUCGCGUUGCUGCUCAUGUACUUUGUCGACGUCCACAGCGCUCAUGAGCGGUACAACAAGAAGUUCCUCGAUGCUUUCUCUCUCAUGGCCGUUACUGUUGCUGGGUUCCUGAUGGUUGUCAUAAUCUGCGACCAAGUAUUCGUGAUAAGUUCAGCCGGGCAGAGCGUUUGCUUUGGGAUACUCCUUCUAUUGAUCCUGUCUCCCGCAGCUAUUGUUGUAAGGGCUCAGAGGACGGAACCGAAGCAGCAAGAAGAACCAACGCCGGAAGAACAAACUGGUUUACUUCUUCAUGAGGAGACUGCGCAGCAGGAUUCGGAGAACGCCAGCUCUAGCAUGGCGCUCGUGGGAUCUAACAGUCAGGACAUGUCGUCGGACAAAGCAGAGAACCUGAACGUGGUGCAGGCCAUGUGCAAACUUGACUUCUGGCUGCUCUUCGUUGCGAUGGCCUGCGGGAUGGGGUCGGGGCUGGCCACCGUGAACAACAUCAGCCAGAUCGGGGGCUCCCUUGGCUACACGAGCAGGGAGACCAGCACUCUGGUGUCGCUAUGGAGCAUCUGGAACUUCUCAGGGAGGUUCGGCGCAGGCUACGUCUCUGAUCACUUCCUCCGGUCGCGAGGAGUCGGCAGGCCUUUCUUCAUAGCCGCGACGCUUCUGGUCAUGGGCGUAGGCCAUGCCAUCAUCUCCUCCGGUUUCCACGCGUCGCUCUACGUCGGCUCCGUCCUUGUAGGACUGUGCUACGGGUCUCAGUGGGCUUUGAUGCCGAGCAUAACUUCAGAGAUCUUCGGGCUAAACCAUUUCGGCACCAUAUUCAACACGGUGGCCGUCGCGAGCCCUGUUGGCUCUUACAUCCUCUCGGUGUGCGUGGUCGGGUUCAUCUAUGACAAGGAGUCACCGCAAGGUGAGCUUGCCUGCGCCGGUAAGCACUGCUUUGCGCUCUCCUUCAUGAUCAUGGCAUGUGUCUGCGUCUUCGGGUCUGCUGUUGCUUUUGUAUUGUUUGUCAGAACAAGGAAGUUUUAUAGGCGGGUUAUAUACGCCCGACUGCUCUCUUUUGUAGAUAAAUGA
RNAcentral lists this ribosomal RNA (1617 nucleotides) under Triticum aestivum (bread wheat). Its description in RNAcentral is "partial small subunit ribosomal RNA". Lineage: Eukaryota; Viridiplantae; Streptophyta; Magnoliopsida; Poales; Poaceae. The record is from RNAcentral.